CUGCGAGGCCGAGGGACAGAGUCAUCAGCGCCAGCACCGCGCGGCCACCGGCUCCACACGGCAUCGUCCUGCGGAGAGAGGAGCGCUGCGUGUUACUUCAGCUCUCCAGCAAGAACAUGGGGACGGAUCCUGUCACCAGCCCACUGGUGUGGAGCCAGAUUCCCCCUCCCAGCCCCAAUUCCAGUUUCUCCAACCCCGGUGCUGACACCGGUGUCCCACCGAACGUGAGGGAAACGGGGGCAAAUCCUGCUUUCAGCUGCCCCGGGGGUAAAUCAGGAGGGAAAUGCUGAGCUCAGCACAGCCCCAGACCCUGCAGUGCUUCCCCACUCACCUACAGCAUCGGCGUCCCGCGGGCGCCCACGGCACUGCCCGGCCCUGGCGAGGCUCUCCCGGCCACGGUCCCGCUCUCGGAGCCGGGGCAGCUCUGCUCCGUGCCCUGCACCCCGGCUUGGAGGAGCUUCAUGGGUCUGCUCCCCUCCCGUCCCGGCACCGGGGCAGCUCCCGCGGCUGCGGCCGUGCCCGUCCCGGUGGGGCAACGUCGCCGUUCCCGGCCCGGCCCCGGGGGCUCGGCAGCCCCGUCGUCCGACGCAGCCGCUUGGCAGGAGCUCUGUGGUCUGGAUGUGGGAGAAGUCAAAAAAAUGUUUCUUAUUACUGCCUCUUCCUGCCUGGCUUCUCUCCACCACUCCCAGCUAAUAAAGCAUUUCCUAUUGCUGA
This is a long non-coding RNA of Pseudopipra pipra, 714 nucleotides long. RefSeq lists it as uncharacterized. The record is from RefSeq and is a predicted model, not a curated record. NCBI's taxonomy places the organism in Eukaryota, Metazoa, Chordata, Aves, Passeriformes, Pipridae. The transcript has 2 exons.